Molecule: ribosomal RNA, 465 nt
Filed under: Vreelandella stevensii
Lineage: Bacteria; Pseudomonadati; Pseudomonadota; Gammaproteobacteria; Oceanospirillales; Halomonadaceae
Description: partial 16S ribosomal RNA
Rfam family: Bacterial small subunit ribosomal RNA
Source: RNAcentral
CCUACGGGUGGCAGCAGUGGGGAGUAUUGGACAAUGGGCGAAAGCCUGAUCCAGCCAUGCCGCGUGUGUUAAGAAGGCCUUCGGGUGGUAAAGCACUUUCAGUGGGGAAGAAAGCCUUGGGGCUAAUACCCUCGAGGAAGGACAUCACCCACAGAAGAAGCACCGGCUAACUCCGUGCCAGCAGCCGCGGUAAUACGGAGGGUGCGAGCGUUAAUCGGAAUUACUGGGCGUAAAGCGCGCGUAGGCGGUCUGAUAAGCCGGUUGUGAAAGCCCCGGGCUCAACCUGGGAACGGCAUCCGGAACUGUCAGGCUAGAGUGCAGGAGAGGAAGGUAGAAUUCCCGGUGUAGCGGUGAAAUGCGUAGAGAUCGGGAGGAAUACCAGUGGCGAAGGCGGCCUUCUGGACUGACACUGACGCUGAGGUGCGAAAGCGUGGGUAGCAAACAGGAUUAGAUACCCCAGUAGUC